UAAACUUUGUAUGGGAUCUUGUCGCCCCAUCGCGUUUGGUGUGAACGCACAAUGCGAUUCUUCCUCGGCGGCGACAUGUUUGCUGCGUUCUGAACCAAAUCAAAGCAGCGUGUGUGUGACGUCACGACGCAUUUACCGCGACCGGAACCGAUAAGCAGAAUCGUUAAGCAGGCUUGCUAACGAUUCCAAGGAAUCGGUUGACUCAGAACCGGUUCUGAACAAGAACCGGUUCUCGAUUCCCAUCCCUACAGGACGCAUGCGCUUCGUUGUCCGCCAAAACUCAAGAAGAUUACAACGGCGGUCAGGUGUAAUGGAGGAAUGAGCAGCUAAAUUAUCUUGAAGCCCAAAGCAGCAACUUUCUGCAGUUGACAGUGCCCUCUCAAGCAGCAACUACAGCAAGCUGUGUCACAAGCAAAGCCAUCUGGCUAUUCAGCCACCACCGGGAAAGUUCUCCUGCGACAGUAUUGGAUACGAACGGCUAAUGCAAGAUUCAAACAAGGAGGAAGGAGGGAAGGAAUGGGGGGGGGCGAAAUAUCGCACUUUUUAGUGUCAAGAUGCUCUGAUUUUUGUAGGAUAUUCAUGAUACAGAAACAGACGUUUAGAAUCUCAGGGCAAAACACUGUUCUUUAAGUCGAAAUGUUCGAAUAAUAAGCAUGUCUUUUAAGAUGCACUAAAGGUUCCUGAAGCAUGUCAAAUGUUUUUUUCGAGAGGUUAAGGUUAAAAAGGAUCCAAAAGAUACGUAUGCUCUAUGCAAACAGUUCCUGAACUUGUCAUUGUGUCUUUAACAAACUACCUUAGACCCAUUUUAGCCACCCUAAGAUGUUUUGAAAAAAACAUCACAAAAUUGUGUUUUGGCUUUGUUAAAAUAAAUAAAUAAUAAUAAAAAUCUUCUUAGGGUGAACUAUAUACCUUUUUGUU
Long non-coding RNA from Gadus chalcogrammus (walleye pollock), 918 nucleotides. RefSeq lists it as uncharacterized. The record is from RefSeq and is a predicted model, not a curated record. The transcript is spliced from 4 exons. Lineage: Eukaryota; Metazoa; Chordata; Actinopteri; Gadiformes; Gadidae.